RNAcentral lists this ribosomal RNA (370 nucleotides) under uncultured bacterium. Its description in RNAcentral is "bacterial SSU rRNA". It matches the Rfam family "Bacterial small subunit ribosomal RNA", at positions 527 to 896 of the family's 1533-position model. The record is from RNAcentral.
GUAGGGAGCAAGCGUUGUCCGGAUUUACUGGGUGUAAAGGGUGCGUAGGCGGCUUUGCAAGUCAGAUGUGAAAUCUAUGGGCUCAACCCAUAAACUGCAUUUGAAACUGUAGAGCUUGAGUGAAGUAGAGGCAGGCGGAAUUCCCCGUGUAGCGGUGAAAUGCGUAGAGAUGGGGAGGAACACCAGUGGCGAAGGCGGCCUGCUGGGCUUUAACUGACGCUGAGGCACGAAAGCGUGGGUAGCAAACAGGAUUAGAUACCCUGGUAGUCCACGCUGUAAACGAUGAUUACUAGGUGUGGGGGGUCUGACCCCUUCCGUGCCGGAGUUAACACAAUAAGUAAUCCACCUGGAGAGUACGGCCGCAAGGUUG